RNAcentral lists this ribosomal RNA (556 nucleotides) under Colletotrichum gloeosporioides. Its description in RNAcentral is "eukaryotic LSU rRNA". The stretch from base 193 to 346 matches the Rfam family "5.8S ribosomal RNA". The record is from RNAcentral. Lineage: Eukaryota; Fungi; Ascomycota; Sordariomycetes; Glomerellales; Glomerellaceae.
GGGUGAUGCGAGGAUCAUUACUGAGUUUACGCUCUACAACCCUUUGUGAACAUACCUACAACUGUUGCUUCGGCGGGUAGGGUCUCCGCGACCCUCCCGGCCUCCCGCCUCCGGGCGGGUCGGCGCCCGCCGGAGGAUAACCAAACUCUGAUUUAACGACGUUUCUUCUGAGUGGUACAAGCAAAUAAUCAAAACUUUUAACAACGGAUCUCUUGGUUCUGGCAUCGAUGAAGAACGCAGCGAAAUGCGAUAAGUAAUGUGAAUUGCAGAAUUCAGUGAAUCAUCGAAUCUUUGAACGCACAUUGCGCCCGCCAGCAUUCUGGCGGGCAUGCCUGUUCGAGCGUCAUUUCAACCCUCAAGCUCUGCUUGGUGUUGGGGCCCUACAGCCGAUGUAGGCCCUCAAAGGUAGUGGCGGACCCUCCCGGAGCCUCCUUUGCGUAGUAACUUUACGUCUCGCACUGGGAUCCGGAGGGACUCUUGCCGUAAAACCCCCCAAUUUUCCAAAGGUUGACCUCGGAUCAGGUAGGAAUACCCGCUGAACUUAAGCAUAUCAAUA